AUUGAACGCUGGCGGCAUUCCUAACACAUGCAAGUCGAACGGUAACAGGAAACAGCUUGCUGUUUCGCUGACGAGUGGCGGACGGGUGAGUAAUGUCUGGGAAACUGCCUGAUGGAGGGGGAUAACUACUGGAAACGGUAGCUAAUACCGCAUAACGUCGCAAGACCAAAGAGGGGGACCUUCGGGCCUCUUGCCAUCGGAUGUGCCCAGAUGGGAUUAGCUAGUAGGUGGGGUAACGGCUCACCUAGGCGACGAUCCCUAGCUGGUCUGAGAGGAUGACCAGCCACACUGGAACUGAGACACGGUCCAGACUCCCACGGGAGGCAGCAGUGGGGAAUAUUGCACAAUGGGCGCAAGCCUGAUGCAGCCAUGCCGCGUGUAUGAAGAAGGCCUUCGGGUUGUAAAGUACUUUCAGCGGGGAGGAAGGGAGUAAAGUUAAUACCUUUACUCAUUGACGUUACCCGCAGAAGAAGCACCGGCUAACUCCGUGCCAGCAGCCGCGGUAAUACGGAGGGUGCAAGCGUUAAUCGGAAUUACUGGGCGUAAAGCGCACGCAGGCGGUUUGUUAAGUCAGAUGUGAAAUCCCCGGGCUCAACCUGGGAACUGCAUCUGAUACUGGCAAGCUUGAGUCUCGUAGAGGGGGGUAGAAUUCCAGGUGUAGCGGUGAAAUGCGUAGAGAUCUGGAGGAAUACCGGUGGCGAAGGCGGCCCCCUGGACGAAGACUGACGCUCAGGUGCGAAAGCGUGGGGAGCAAACAGG
RNAcentral lists this ribosomal RNA (759 nucleotides) under uncultured bacterium. Its description in RNAcentral is "bacterial SSU rRNA". It matches the Rfam family "Bacterial small subunit ribosomal RNA", at positions 28 to 776 of the family's 1533-position model. The record is from RNAcentral.